GUGGGCCCUCGAAAUCCGUCGGCGGGGGAUUCAGUCGGGAGGUGCGGGCUCGURCGCCGGUCUUUGAUUCGGACCCUAUCGAUUGGGCCGGGUCGGCGUCGAAAGUCCCCGCUACCCGACGCACUUCCUCCCGCCCCAAGGACGCCGCAGCCGGUUGGGUAGCUGCGCGAGUCGGCCAUAAGGGCGGGCGCCGGAAGGUGGCCGGUGGCGGCACUCUGCUGUCCGUCGCCGGUCGUUAUCCAGCCCGUCCGUGGCGCGACACCCGACCGAGGUCGAUGGUYCUAUUAUAAGGACCUUGCCGUCCCCUCCCCCGUGGUCGAGCGGGCCUGCGGAAAGGCGAUUCCCCCUGCGGGCGACCCACUCUCCGAGUGGCCGUCCCUCGGGUGACGCCGUUGGUCCGUCAGGUCCCGCGUGGGGUUCGUUCGGAAGGCUUGCGGCGAGUAGGUCGGUCACCCACCCGACCCGUCUUGAAACACGGACCAAGGAGUCUAACAUGUGCGCGAGUCACGGGGUCUUGUUCAGGCCCAGAGGCGCAAUGAAAGUGAAGGCCCCCUUCUCGGGGGUCGUGUUGGGACUCUCCGCUAUCAAAAGGCGGGGAAGCACCAACGACCCGCCCUGUCCGAUUCAUUCGGUUGGGCGGAGUGUGAGCGCACACGUUGGGACCCGAAAGAUGGUGAACUAUGCCUGGGCAGGACGAAGCCAGAGGAAACUCUGGUGGAGGUCCGUAGCGGUUCUGACGUGCAAAUCGAUCGUCAGACCUGGGUAUAGG
This 769-nucleotide ribosomal RNA is filed under the name Hesperonatalius langlandsi. RNAcentral describes it as "eukaryotic LSU rRNA". The stretch from base 479 to 769 matches the Rfam family "Eukaryotic large subunit ribosomal RNA", at positions 665 to 921 of the family's 3401-position model. Lineage: Eukaryota; Metazoa; Arthropoda; Arachnida; Araneae; Anamidae. The record is from RNAcentral.